GGAAUAUUGGACAAUGGGCGAAAGCCUGAUCCAGCCAUGCCGCGUGUGUGAAGAAGGUCUUCGGAUUGUAAAGCACUUUAAGUUGGGAGGAAGGGUUGUAGAUUAAUACUCUGCAAUUUUGACGUUACUCACAGAAGAAGCACCGGCUAACUCCGUGCCAGCAGCCGCGGUAAUACGGAGGGUGCAAGCGUUAAUCGGAAUUACUGGGCGUAAAGCGCGCGUAGGUGGUUCGGUAAGUUGGAUGUGAAAUCCCCGGGCUCAACCUGGGAACUGCAUUCAAAACUGUCGAGCUAGAGUAUGGUAGAGGGUGGUGGAAUUUCCUGUGUAGCGGUGAAAUGCGUAGAUAUAGGAAGGAACACCAGUGGCGAAGGCGACCACCUGGACUGAUACUGACACUGAGGUGCGAAAGCGUGGGGAGCAAAC
This 423-nucleotide ribosomal RNA is filed under the name uncultured bacterium. RNAcentral's name for it is "bacterial SSU rRNA". It matches the Rfam family "Bacterial small subunit ribosomal RNA", at positions 358 to 773 of the family's 1533-position model. The record is from RNAcentral.